This 388-nucleotide ribosomal RNA is filed under the name uncultured eukaryote. RNAcentral describes it as "partial 18S ribosomal RNA". It matches the Rfam family "Eukaryotic small subunit ribosomal RNA", at positions 592 to 976 of the family's 1831-position model. The record is from RNAcentral.
CAAUAGCGUAUAUUAAAGUUGUUGCAGUUAAAAAGCUCGUAGUUGGAUUUCUGAUCGAGACAUCAGGUCGGGUCCGAGAGGAUCAUGUACUUUGAUUUUGUUUUGAUCAUCCUUGGGGAGAGCAUUUCUGGCAUUCAGUUGUCGGGAUUGGGAUCCUCAUCGUUUACUGUGAAAAAAUUAGAGUGUUCAAAGCAGGCCUCGGCCUCUGAAUACAUUAGCAUGGAAUAAUAAGAUAGGACUUUGGUGGUCUAUUUUGUUGGUUUGCACGCCAAAGUAAUGAUUAAUAGGGAUAGUUGGGGGUAUUCGUAUUCAAUUGUCAGAGGUGAAAUUCUUGGAUUUAUGGAAGACGAACUACUGCGAAAGCAUUUACCAAAGAUGUUUUCAUUAA